AUUGUGAAGGAGUAUUUAGGCAGCAAAAAGCACAGACACCUGGACGAGCUGAGGCGCACCUUCUCUACUAUGACCCUCCUAGCUGGACGACGACGAAGUGGGUCGACGUAGGGCGGCGGUGGCGGCGGUCCGACGCGAACGGCGGCCGAGCGCGGCGCUUGUGGAGGAGGCUCGGCCGGCGGCGCGCAGACUCCCGCCACGAGCUCGUCCACCUGCUGCUCGACGCCUUCCCCUUGCUGCUCCGGCGCGACAGGGAGCACGCGCCGAGCGUCCCCCUCCCGCCGCCCGAGGCCACGAAACCGCGGCGCUCCGUCCAUGGAGUUUCCGAAAUAUUUGAUCUACUCGAAUUCGAUUUACCCUAACUAUGAAGAAGAAAGGAUAGAGGACACCUAGUCUGAAACCCUAGUUAACUCUCUUUAGAGGUUUAACGGCGCGAAGAACCUCCAGAAAGACAAAGUAAACGCAAACUCGAAAGAGUUGAGGUUCGAGACGAAUGGAAACAGCCGGAUGAUAAGCACACCAGACAACUAAACGAAAGAUCUAUAUAAUGUUACCUCCCCCCUCUUUGAACCAAGAACUGUGUUAACGAGUGUCAGAGUCGCUCUUCAUGGUGUUGUCUCAAUAACUCGUACUUCGACCAGUGAAGAACUAUCGUAUGAACGAACCUCACGAAGGCUUCCUUAUAUGAUAGUGUACAAAUCUAUGUGAAUACUUUGUUCCUAGUGACUUGCACGUUCGACCCUGUCGAAAACACCUAAAACUCAAACAACUUCUCUAGUUAUGUCCGUUUAACAGACGCUUCUACGACUUGUUCAAGAGUACAUAACGUGACCGGCCUCAUCGUUGGCUCAUAGAAGACAUACCUAUGCGGCUUCCUCCUGAUCUACUGCAAUUGUUCGACCUACCUGACAAGUUCUCGGACCCUAAGUGGGUCUUGUUUCGACUAAGUGUCCACUCCACCCGACACGAUUUGUAGCAAGACUAGGACGCGGCGGUACUUUUUCGAUCUAGCUUCGAAUUCCUCCGUUACAGAAGACCCUCCAGUCAACCUAGAACGUAGCUCCAGUAUCUUCUCUUGUAUUUGGGGCUCCUAUAAACUAUCGACCACCCUUGAGACUUGUGACUUCUGUCACGUGUGACCACGACCUGGUAUGUCUAACGUCGCCAUAUUUGGAAACACCACAUAAACAGAAACAUGACAUAUAAGUCAAACAUUAAACUGUUACCUCCGACUCAGAUGUUAAAAAACCGGAGCUGAUGUUGCGUCUUUGUGUCAACCAUUAGCCACGCUGCGACAUUGGGGGGUUUCGUAAUUGGUUUGCCUCCAACCUGAACUAAAAGUCUAUUGUUAAGAUUACAUCAUGUCAAGGCAACUGUGGGCCUUUACAAACUUAACUUCAAUUAGCGGUUAAGAUGAAGAGUACCCUGACGUUUUACCACCACCACUUAAGGUAAAAUAGAUACCAAAUUCCACAAAAGUCACAUCUGACACAACGUCACUGUUGUUAUCAUCAUCUGUUAUUAAACCCAUAGACACAACGUCACUGUUUUUAUCAUCCG
RNAcentral lists this ribosomal RNA (1560 nucleotides) under Triticum aestivum (bread wheat). RNAcentral describes it as "partial small subunit ribosomal RNA". Lineage: Eukaryota; Viridiplantae; Streptophyta; Magnoliopsida; Poales; Poaceae. The record is from RNAcentral.